RNAcentral lists this ribosomal RNA (669 nucleotides) under uncultured Hydrogenobacter sp. RNAcentral's name for it is "bacterial SSU rRNA". It matches the Rfam family "Bacterial small subunit ribosomal RNA", at positions 732 to 1399 of the family's 1533-position model. The record is from RNAcentral. Lineage: Bacteria; Pseudomonadati; Aquificota; Aquificia; Aquificales; Aquificaceae.
GGGCUGUCCUGACGGUCAGGGACGAAAGCUGGGGGAGCGAACCGGAUUAGAUACCCGGGUAGUCCCAGCCGUAAACCAUGGGCGCUAGGCGUUGUCCGCAAGGGCAGUGCCUCAGCUAACGCGGUAAGCGCCCCGCCUGGGGAGUACGGGCGCAAGCCUGAAACUCAAAGGAAUUGGCGGGGGCCCGCACAACCGGUGGAGCGUCUGGUUCAAUUCGAUGCUAACCGAAAAACCUUACCCGGGCUUGACAUGGUAGGAAACCCUUGCGAAAGCGAGGGGUGCCGUCCUCUGGACGGAAUCCUACCACAGGUGGUGCAUGGCCGUCGUCAGCUCGUGUCGUGAGAUGUUGGGUUAAGUCCCGCAACGAGCGCAACCCCUGCCCUUAGUUGCCACUCUUCGGAGGGCACUCUAAGGGGACUGCCGGCGAUAAGCCGGAGGAAGGUGGGGAUGACGUCAGGUCAGUAUGCCCUUUAUGCCCGGGGCUACACAGGCGCUACAGUGGCCGGGACAAUGGGAAGCGACCCAGCAAUGGGGAGCAAAUCCCCCAAACCCGGUCAUGGUGCAGAUUGAGGGCUGAAACUCGCCCUCAUGAAGCCGGAAUCGGUAGUAAUGGCGGAUCAGCUAAGCCGCCGUGAAUACGUUCUCGGGCCUUGCACACACCGCCCGUCA